AUUGAACGCUGGCGGCAGGCCUAACACAUGCCAGUCGAACGGUAACAGGAAGAUGCUUGCUUCUUUGCUGACGAGUGGCGGACGGGUGAGUAAUGUCUGGGAAACUGCCUGCUGGAGGGGGAUAACUACUGGAAACGGUAGCUAAUACCGCAUAACGUCGCAAGACCAAAGAGGGGGACCUUCGGGCCUCUUGCCAUCGGAUGUGCCCAGAUGGGAUUGGCUAGUAGGUGGGGUAACGGCUCACCUAGGCGACGAUCCCUAGCUGGUCUGAGAGGAUGACCAGCCACACUAGAACUGGGACACGGUCCAGACGCCUACGGGAGGCAGCAGUGGGGAAUAUUGCACAAUGGGCGGAAGCAUGAUGCAGCCAUGCCGCGUGUAUGAAGAAGGCCUUCGGGUUGUAAAGUACUUUCAGCGGGGAGGAAGGGAGUAAAGUUAAUACCUUUGCUCAUUGACGUUACCCGCAGAAGAAGCACCGGCUAACUCCGUG
RNAcentral lists this ribosomal RNA (490 nucleotides) under uncultured bacterium. RNAcentral's name for it is "partial 16S ribosomal RNA". It matches the Rfam family "Bacterial small subunit ribosomal RNA", at positions 30 to 507 of the family's 1533-position model. The record is from RNAcentral.